CAGUCGCCGCGGGAAUACGAAGGGGGCUAGCGUUGUUCGGAAUUACUGGGCGUAAAGCGCACGUAGGCGGACUUUUAAGUCAGGGGUGAAAUCCCGGGGCUCAACCUCGGAACUGCCUUUGAUACUGGAGAUCUCGAGUUCGGGAGAGGUGAGUGGAACUGCGAGUGUAGAGGUGAAAUUCGUAGAUAUUCGCAAGAACACCAGUGGCGAAGGCGGCUCACUGGCUCGAUACUGACGCCGAGGCACGAAAGCGUGGGGAGCAAACAGGAUUAGAUACCCCUGUAGUCCCUGUCUCUUAUAC
This 301-nucleotide ribosomal RNA is filed under the name uncultured bacterium. RNAcentral's name for it is "partial 16S ribosomal RNA". It matches the Rfam family "Bacterial small subunit ribosomal RNA", at positions 509 to 807 of the family's 1533-position model. The record is from RNAcentral.